Molecule: ribosomal RNA, 253 nt
Filed under: uncultured bacterium
Lineage: Bacteria
Description: partial 16S ribosomal RNA
Rfam family: Bacterial small subunit ribosomal RNA
Source: RNAcentral
UACGAAGGGGGCUAGCGUUGUUCGGAAUUACUGGGCGUAAAGCGCACGUAGGCGGAUAUUUAAGUCAGGGGUGAAAUCCCAGAGCUCAACUCUGGAACUGCCUUUGAUACUGGGUAUCUCGAGUAUGGAAGAGGUGAGUGGAAUUCCGAGUGUAGAGGUGAAAUUCGUAGAUAUUCGGAGGAACACCAGUGGCGAAGGCGGCUCACUGGACCGGUACUGACGCUGAGGCGCGAAAGCGUGGGGAGCAAACAGG